CCCCGCCGCAGGGCUGGGCCGGUCCGGUCUCCCCCCCUCCGUGAGGUGGCGGCGCUGCAGCCGGGAGCCCCCGGCGCUCGGAGCCGCCACCCGGCCCAGCUCUUUAUUCAAGGUGUGUGCAGCUGCUGGAAUCGUUAAUAAACACAAACUGAUCAGUGA
This is a long non-coding RNA of Falco peregrinus (peregrine falcon), 159 nucleotides long. RefSeq lists it as uncharacterized. The record is from RefSeq and is a predicted model, not a curated record. The transcript is spliced from 2 exons. NCBI's taxonomy places the organism in Eukaryota, Metazoa, Chordata, Aves, Falconiformes, Falconidae.